UACACACUAAAAUUCAGUGCUAUCUAUGGUUUGGAGGAAUUGGAUUUAAUAUCUUGGAUCGUUUCCAUAGGGUUUGGAUAACACCAAGCAGCUUCACCGCCCUACUGACAUGGAAUUCACCAGCCUUCACUGAGAGGGAUUGGAAAUCAGAUGGCCCUCCAGAUGUUGCUGGACUACAAAUCCUAGUAGCCCUCACCAACAUACCCAACAGUGAGGAAUAAUGGUGGCGCACUCCAACAUUGAGAGCUCCAGAACUUCACACUGUCCUUGGAAAGAAGACAUCUUGCCAAUCAUCUGGGAAGAAUAAGAGCAAACAUGGUUCCUUGUGUUGCUUUCUUUCUUGGUUAGAACUAUAGUUUUUAUUAUCUUUCCAAUCUCCGUGUAUGUACUUAUUAAACAUUUGCUUUCCUGUUUUCCCUAAUAAAAAAGUCUUAAGUGU
This is a long non-coding RNA of Sceloporus undulatus (fence lizard), 439 nucleotides long. RefSeq lists it as uncharacterized. The record is from RefSeq and is a predicted model, not a curated record. Lineage: Eukaryota; Metazoa; Chordata; Lepidosauria; Squamata; Phrynosomatidae. The transcript has 3 exons.